AGGUAACGAACACUUCCUUUUGCUCUCAGGAUCUCCAACCCCGCUUUGUCUUGCGAAGCCUGUGAUAAUAUAAUUUCUCUGGGUUCAUACAGUCGCAAAAGCUCACUGAAUUGCUGAAGAAUCCAUCAGAAGAGAGCAAUGGCAAGCGCGAAGAGGAUGCGAGGCCCUGCUUGUUAGUGUAUUCAGGUGAUGAAGAGAAGAACCUAGGCUUUUUCAAUCGGGAAGAAGCAGAAUACUUAUACAUGGGAGAACCUGAGAGUAGCUACCUGACAUCAAUUGAGCAACCGUGCGAUUUGAACUGCAGUAGUUCUCCGGAGCAGCGCUGCACCACUCCUCCUGAGUGGUGGGAGUCUUGGCCCUUGACAGAAUAGAACCCUGUCGUCGCCGGAACAUGUGAACCAUAGUAGAGCUGAUGGAGUGAGCCUGCUGUUUGGAGUCAGAUUAGAGUUCCAGAUGCUCAUGUAAAAUAGCUUAUGAUUCAGGGAGUGCAUGAAAUUUCUGAUGCUAUGUCGUCAUCCCAAUGUAAUCAGAAUGAAUAAACUUAGAAUCGACAGAGAGUAAUGUGUCUACUGUUUCCCAAAUCCACUCUUAACACAGGUAAGCAUCGAGUUCAAACAAUCGACUACAUUUAUUCUGUCUGCCAUGAAAUAUCUAUUUAUGUUUCUGCAAUGAAGCGCAGAUGCACGAAUUCAAGCAAGCAGCAAGCAAGCAAGCAAUUUCACCUUGACGGCAAGUGUAUGAUGCUUCAGGAAUGAGAUCGGUCAAGACUCCUGACCUCUCAUAAGAAUCAUCAACAUCAAGGGCAUUAUUUAACUCUUAGUAUAUUGCAAAUGCUUCAGGUGAACGAAAGCAACAACAGCAAAAGCUGUCGAGUUUUUUGACUAACCAUAAUAUUAGCUUAUGAAUUAGGACACGAUCAUAUCAGUGACUCCCAGUCUGACAGCUCUGAUGGUUGUAUCCUGCAACACCAGAUCAUAAUACAAGAUACUUACUGCCAGAAAGGAGAAAAAAAGGGGGAUAGAUAAAUAAAAUCCUACAUAGCAUAGACGCGUAAAAAAAAAUUAAGGAAUGCUGCUGCAUAUCCUAAACACAGAGAGAGGGGGGAAAGAGAGAGUGAGGAUUAGCGGAAUACUGCUAAAAUGAUCACAUAUAUUUCAUAAAUGAGUCUUCAGCAUAGCAUUAUAAGCACACCAUUAUGACAGUAAGUAUCUUGACAGUAAGUAAAUAGCUAUGCUAUUUACUCCAAUCUUGACAGCUCUGCUAUUUAGAUUUGUUGAGGGAGUGUUUGGUUGCCUUUGCAUACUAUUGUACACAGUGUGCAUGCCAAGGAUCUAUAAUAGGGCAAACAAGAAAUAUUAGAGAACCUGAGAUCCCACAAACAAUAGUCUGAUUAAACUCGGAAUGGGCCGCUUUUGAGUUUUAACUUCCUUUGAGAGACAGACAACGAGGUAGAAGUGAAAAUGACAAAUCGAACGAGGUAGGAGCAGAAGAAGCUCCUGGUUGAGUGCAUGUACAGGGUUGAUGAGGGCUAAGGUCAAGCGAUCUUCACUAAAGGCAGAGGGAAGCAAUGGUAGCAAGCAAAGAAAUUCUCGAUCAAUCUCAAGUAAAGCAUGACCAUAAUCCUUCACAAACACUAUAUAAUAAUCAGGUCCAACCAAUGAGGAUCUGUCAUCUCAUAACUAUGAGGCACAAGGCCCCCUAAAGCCAAAGCAGACUCCAUGAUGCCUCAUAAAACCCUCAUAUAACAAUCAUCUAUGGCAUGUUAUGAUCCAACCUCUCUCAUGUUGGAAAACUGAGGCCAUGAAUUCCCCAUGAUCUACCAUAUAAAGAUAAAGUCCUAGAAGGCAUUCCAAUCAUAUAUUACAUCCACCAUUCAAGGGAAAAGGCUCCUAAAUCCAGCUUCUUCCAAGUACACUCCUAUUGAUCGACCUCUUCUUGUCUUACUUGGACUGAACGCUUGAACAGUCUUAAAGAGUUGCAGCUUAGCUCAUGGUAUACAUAUCAGCUCUUUAAAAAUGUGAUGGACAUGAUUAAUAUAGAGAAUAAAUUACUGGACUGCUGGCGCAGCUUCCAAAUGUGUGAAAAAGGUGUAAAUGCUGAUCAUUUAUUGAACAUGCACAUGAUGAAAUUGAACGAAAUUGAGAAGCUAUUUCUCAAAAGAAGAAACUGAGAGGCAAACUAUGUAGAACAUAUUGUUGAAUGAAAAGCACAAACAAUGUGCUAAAGCUGGCAGAUGGUAAGGAUGACAAAGUUAACGACAAAAUGUAGAAACAUAUAUAAAGGCCAAUUUGUCAACUCUUCAAGCAAAGAAUGAUCAGCAAUUUGCAUAUCUUUCCAGCGAAGAACUUAGAAGGUCCAAAAGAGAAGUGCAAAUAGGGCACAACUGAAUUUUAAGUUCUUUCAUAUAAUUACAGCAAACCAUUUUUUUCCCCUGAAGAAAGUUGGGCGAUGCUAGAAUUCUAGAAUGGAUUAAUUUUGGUUUUUCUGCCAGGGUUUCUUAGUUAAUUGAAUACUAUUAUUUUGGUUUUCUCAAAGGAGAGGUGAUUCAUAUUUUAAGAUGUUUUAGACUGUAAAUACCCUAAGCUCCUAGAGAUAACAUGACAGAGCAUGACACUUCUUGGCACUGUAUGAAGAUCAUUCUUAUGCCAGACCAAACUGCCAACACCUGAAACCAUUUUGCAGUGUGAUGUAAUGGACAGUAGUGCAAAAACCAAGGAUAGGGAUUUUGGGUCUAUAUAAUGUAAAUAGAGGUUUUUUUGGCUACUGAAUAGAGAUGAUUUUUUGUCAUAAAUUAAAUUGACUGAACCUUAAGUCUUUUUUUAAGAAAAAAAUCUAAUUAUUAAAGCCAAAAGCACGGAUUGCGGCUACUAUAACAUAAUGGACCAACCACAGCCAAACACAACAUCAUUAAUGACACAACAGCCACUAGCCAAAAUUACAGAAGUGACAGGACCCACACAAAGACUCUUUGGCAGUGGGAAAAAGACAUCAACUAAGCAAUUACCAAACUGUGAACAGCAUGCAGAGACCCAAACGGGAAGCAACUUCCAGGGCAAAGGCUUGGCAUACAAGAGAUUAAAAGCCAUUCAGCUCUCCAGGAAAAGAAUGUGACCGCUCCGCAAUAUGAUGUGGAACGACACUAUAGCCAGCAAGGCCACAGCAACAGCCAGCUAAUGCCCAAAAUAUGAAUAUCAGCAAGACCAACAAGCAUAGAAACAAAGCAAGGCCUGUCAACAAACACCUUUAACCUACUGCUAUCACAUUCUCCCAAAUGCUACCCCUUGAUUUGCUAGAGGGAGCAAGAAUAAACAAAUCUUAGCCUAGAAAAUGCCCCCAAAAUUUUUCUAUCUUUAGCUCUUUAGUGUUUCAGUUUUUGUGGAAGUCGGUGUCAUUAUCCUGCAUCUAGUUGAAGGUGCUUGAUUAAUCAUUAUCCUUUAUUCCUUUUUCCAUCCAAAGACUCUCUAUCUCCCUCUUCCUCAUACAAUAAUAUUCUUUCCAAUGCUUUCCUUUCUUUAAAUAUUAUUAUUGAUUUACUAUACGUUGCCAAUACCCCAAGGCCCAAAGCCUAUUGUUUCAGAAUCUUUGAACUUUUCCACAUCUUUACUUUCCAGAUGCUAGUAUGCCCCCUAUAAGUGAACAAGUUCCUUAUUGCUCCAUACUACUCAAAAUGGGAACAGUGCAAACAAUUUAACACCCCAACUGUUGCCCUUUCGGCAAGCUUAGUCUUUAGCUUGAACUCAUAUAAGUGGCAUAAAAAUUCUAUUAUCCCCUCUAUAUUGAAAAUGAAUGAAUGACUUACUGAACCUACUCUUAACAGUUACAUCUCAAAAAAUCACUUCAUUUCUUUUUCCCAAUUCAAACCUAAUUAAGUCAGGCACUCCCAUCCCAAUCAAUUUAUAUCUUGCUUAAUCUUAUUGAUGGCCUCCUUAAAGAUUUUUAGUAGAAACCACACUAGAAUCUCCCUGUAAACCUAAGAAAUGCACUCCAAGUACAAUUAAAAUUCCCUUUCCCUCUAACGCUGCAUGUGAUGCAGGUGCAAAGGAGCUAGUUAAGACCUUCCAUAAGAAUCCAUGCUUAAAGCCCAGAUAAUCAGUUCAGCUCAAGGAAAGAUCCCAGAAGGCCCUAAACAAACAAAACUGUACAUGCCUAUGAUGUGACAAUAACUGAUUUCGAAAAAAAAAUCAAACACAAUAAAACAUUUUUGGUAGAACUCACCAGAAUCUGUCAUUAGAGAAAAAUCAAUCCAAAUACAAAUCCUGCCAUAUCGAAAUUCUCCUUAGACCAUAAAUGGGGCAAAAAAUAAGAUAUCUUCAUGACAGAAAAAUCUAUCUUUCCUGCUAGAAUCAAAUCUCUUUGUUUUCUUUAUUUUUUGCCUCUUUUUAGUGGCUUCUGAGAUAUGGUUUAGAAGUUCAUAUGGAAAACAAGAUGGUUCAGAUAUACUACACUAGCUCUAAUAAGUAUUCUUGCAUCUUGCAAUUUUAUAUACUACUUUUGUAAUGAUCUUGUAAAUCACAAAGAUCAUGAUUAGAUAUGAUUUGGAUGCCUUCUUUUAGGAAGGAUAGGAGUUUUGAGCCCUAUAGAAUAACCUCACAUAUUGGCCCUUUUGAUUGAAUGAAGUUUACUUUUCCACUCUCAAGCUCUAUAUUGUAAGUGAUUGUUUUGUUGUUUUUCCCUUUUAUAUUGUCUACUUGGAUUGACAGGGAAAUUUUGAAAUAUUGCUCAUCAAGAAGGUCACUUUCUGCACUAGCAUCCUUCAUUUGUCCUAGCACCGACCACUUUCAUUCCUUUUCAUCACAAUUUUGUUGACUAAAACAUACAAUAAGUUAACAUCCUUGCCACAAAAUUCUCCACUCUUCUUAAGGAUUCUGAACUUUUCAAAUCGCUACAUUCACAAUUCCCAUUCAUCAUUUAUAACAAUCCAAUAAACAAAAUUCUUUGAAAUUUUGUUGCGAGUGUGAAAAUAAUUUAGUAGUUAUUCCACUUUAAAAAAACUAUUCAGUCUUUUUUCCUAAAUUUUUUAGUUUAGUAACUCCAUUGGUGCUUCUCAUAUUUUUUGUAUUUGCAAAUUUUGACCUCCAAUAUUUUCCUGAAAUUCUCCUAUAUUUACAUCAAAUUGUGAAUUUGUGGUCUUGUCAUAUCAAUCCCAAAGCCGAACCUCAAUGGUACGGUUUAUGCUCCGCAUCUUGGAUGCUCCUGUUUUCAUAUGUGAACUUUUAAUGUUCACCUCCCUAGCUCACAUUAAAAUAAAGGCACAACCGUUGAAAACAAUUACUGUGGAUGAAAUGCACAAAAGUGCUAUAUUGUUCCUCACUUGAUCAGGUGGCUCGGCAACCUAAUGCCACGUAGUAGAUUGCAGUUCACAAUCCAAAAAAAUAAGAUUUCUCAAAAGCAGUCCUUUAUGCUAAACAAGAAAGGGGAGAAAAAGUCUGUUGCUUUGUUGCUUAGCAUUGACCUUGAGAAAAGUUUUAUUUAUUUUAUGAGUUAAGCCGCAAGAUGUUAAACAAACUCAUAAUCAUGGUCUGUUGUGCCGGUACCGGGCACUAAAUCGGUUGCCUGGCAACACAGGCCCACGCCGUGCCGGGCUUGUACCGACACAAUAGAGGAGGCGGGGGAGAGGGCAAAGGGCGCCGGCAUCCGACAGCCCUCCGCCGGCCUCUGCCCUCACUCGCUCGUUCUUUUUCUCUCUUUCCUUUUCCUUCUCCUCCUCUGGCAACGAGUUUAUUUUCCAUUGCCAAAACUGUCCAGAUCCGUCAUUGGGACAGCUUGGUACGACCGGAACCAUCCGGUUCAGCACGGUUCCGCCGAUCCUGCUCAUAAUUCUUCUUAGGAAAAUAAAAAUAGUUGUGUUUAUCAGAUAUAAUAUCUGAGAGGAUAGAAGAAACAAAAUUAGGAAUCUAAUGUUCUGAAAGGCUAAAUACAACUUUCUUCAUAUGUUCUUCAAGAAAAUUACAGACAGAUUGUUUCAUGAAAAAUUUGUGUAUCCUUUAGCUUUAUGUUAGACUUUGGCCAUGGAAUUCUGACAUACAAGAAUACGAUAUAUUUUCUGUUAAUUUUAAUGGACCUAUUCACAAUUGACAAAUAGAUUUAUGCCUUGGUUCACAACUUCACAUCAACGCAUCUAUAUGAAAGAACGAAAAAGUGCUUUUCUUGUUACGCAAUAAGAAGCCUUUGAUUCUCAAUGUUCAUCGAUAGGCAUAGACAACUUAUAUGGUUAUAUCUGCACCUGAUAACACAUUAAAAUGGAGGAGAAUUAACUAGAACCCGGAUGUCACAGAGUUACUAAGAAUUAACUACCUGGCUGGGUGUAUGUACAGGCACAAAAAUGUAACUAACAUUUCUGAACAGUGAUAAACAAUAUAAAAUGAAUUAAUUCCACGAGACUUCGUAAAAGAACAACUCCGUGGACUAGCAUCUUUUGUUGUCAACAACCAUGCAAGAAAUGAGAUUAAAACACGUUGAAAGCUUCCUGCUGCAAAGCAUUCUCUUUAAGCUUCCAUUUCAUCAGAAAAUUUGUGUUCAGAAUCUCUAAAAGCUGCCUCUGCAGGCUUUAAAACCAAUAUAAGGGGAAGAUAGUCAUGGACAAAGUAAGUUAUGAAGUGGUAGCCCAGAUUGCUGUAUGGCAAUAAUACUAUCAUUUUGUCAUAAGAUAAAUCAAAGUUAAUAUGAAUUGAAUUCACACUUUAAUCCCUCUUCCUUUUAAUGGAUUUUUUUUUCCAAUACAGUCAAAUUUUAGAUUAACAAGUACAUAUAUGCAUGCUGUAUACAAGAUGAAGCGUCAUUUCAUAAUCAAUAUUAGAUAAUUUGACAAGAGAAAUACUUAAUUCCAAGUGUUAUAUGUGAUGAAGUAUAAUAGUUAGGAUAACUUUUAAGUUUGAUAAUAGUUGUCAAAGCCACAUUCUGAAGACUACCAAGUCACAAUAAGGAUUUCCUUGCAUCAAAGUUUGAACAAAAAAGAUAGAAAAGAAAUGCCCAAAUGAACCAUCAUUUUAGAUAAUGUAUGAGAAGGCUUUUUCAAAGGCAAGUCCAAACGUAAAUUGAACAGGAAGAGGGGCCUCUAGUCAUCCCACAUAAGUUUUUCAAGUUCACUUAAAUCUUGACAUUCUUCAAAAACGAAUUACAAUAUUAUGAGUAUCCAACAUUAAACAAAAUUUAUUUAUUCGCAUAGAAUCAAGAUAUACAGCACAGUAACAAUUUACAAAGGAUAAGACUGAGCACUUUUAACAUUCCAAAGGAAAAAAGGAUAUCCAUUAAGUCACAGAUUACUGAAAAUGUGAAAGGCAAAUUAGAAUAGCAAAAGCACCAAUACAUAUGAAUGGGAACUACAGAAACAAUGAUGUAAAAUAACAACAUCCAUACAGAGAAUAUCAGAUACAGCAACUAAAUGAGGGAAUAUCUAGUAGUCUGUUGUCUUUACUGCAUGGAUAGAAGAAACUUAGAGCUUUCUGAACCAGUUUUCUAGUAGAUUAUAGUUUGUUUUAAAUUUCUUAACUUGAUAAGAUGAUUUUCUUAGUUGGCUAACCAUUUGCUUUUGAAUUCAAGGUAGAACUUAACUUUCUAAAAAUUUCAAGUAUGACCAGCGCAAAAAAAAUUAUAAUUUUGCUGUAGCUUGGGUUGAGGUAGUUCUAAAGUUGCAUAAUAAUUGAAAAUGAUUUAGUUAUCUAUUUAGGACCCUUCUUAUCAACGAACUUGGGGACUUGAUGGCAGCUUCCAGCAUAAGUAUUGUUUAAGAAAAAGUGCUUUCACCUACCUCUUUCUGCUAGAUUUUCUUUCUCUAAAAGGGACUGGAACUCCACUUCUCAUUACUCUCCUAACAACUCUCUGAUCUAAAACCAAAAACUCAUAUUCUUUUUUCUCAUAUCAUCCACAUACAUUGAAUGGAAAGAAAAGUACUUGAUGGGAAUCUGUAGUGCCCAUAGAUGCAUCCAGCCUUUUCCCCUUGGGUAGGUUCAUCUGCUUUUUAUGCUCCUUUUUUUUUCUAAUGAUGAAUUUGUUAUGCCUCAAGUCAUAUCAAUUUAGUAGUGAAGCAAAUUAUAGUUUUACCGGAAUUUUUUUUUUCUGUUUCCAAAUACUCAGAACAAAGACUCAGGUGCACAAGCAAGUUGAGGAAGCCAGGACAAGGGAACAAGUUAUAGCCAACUGGAGGAUACCGAUGCAUGAAGAAUAAAUAAGUAAUAAAUAAAUAAAACUUAUAUUUUAGGAACAACAGAGUUUAUUCUAUUUUGUAUGUUAAUAACGAAAAAAAUAGUUAACAUUACUAAGGUUUUCAGAAACUCAUGGUAGUUUUAUAACUUCAUAAUGUAAGCAGUUUAGAGUUUUAGUUAAUUAAGUACAAACUUGAUUUUGGAUAGAAAUGUAGUAAGUGUGUAUCCAGGCAUCCUUUCUUUGAGAUAAAUUGCUGUUAAAAAUUCGAGUAUAGACUACUUGCUUAUGAGGAUUACAAUGUAAAGUGAUUCACCUAAAUACAUGCAAAACUUUGGGUUUGGUGGUUAUACAAUAUAUUAUAGAAUCGAUUAUUGAUUGAAGAACACGUUCUUCAACAUUAAUUAGGCUUUUCUAUACUCUGCUCUCUUCACCAAAAUUGGUUGGUGCUCCAACUCCUAGUGUAUGACAAACCAAUGUCAAAUUAGAAAAUGGAUCUGUUUUUCUUUUUAUUUUCCCUCCUUCAUCAUGACCCCUAUGCCAUGCUGUCUGUUUCUUUAUUUAGAGCUCAUCCACUUUAGAACACAUCCAUUUCACCCUCUUGUGUUCCAAUUUCUUCACAACUGCUCCAUCUUUUCAGUUCUCCAGAGGUUGCUACUUGAUGCACAAUCCAAGGUUCGGAUUGGGCAGUAUUUAUUCAAGACAAGAGUGGGUGAAACAACUGCUCCCAGAUGAAUGGCAACGCUUUUCAAAUAAGAAUUCAUUGAGUUCAACCAAAAAAACGACAUGAAAAAAAUAAAGAACUACGGUACCCGUAGUUAAUCUGAGUUAUAUGAGAUUAAGAAAUGGAAGAACAAUUUUGCAAAAGAAGCGGUAUCCCAUCUAGAAGAUAAUUGCUGAUAACAGCUAAGUUCUUCUGUUCUUUUAAAUUGUCGAAAUAUUUUUUUUUUUGGAACACUCGUACCAGAUGAAUACAAGUGCAUCCUCUAAAAUAAGGCGUCGAGAAAAUCGUGGACCCAUUUAAAAAUUAAAACCCCCACGCAACACAGCAUCACGGCAUCACAGAUGUUGAUGCUAGUGCUGCAAGGAAUGGAGGAGGAGGUACCUUGAGGCCGGGAGUAUUGCCUUUGGUGACUCGAUUCUCAGCAAUGUGGCAGGCCAUGACUUCUUCCCACCGAAAGUUGAAUCGUGACACCAAAAGGGUAGUGAAGAAGGGGACCUGGAGAGAGCAAGGAGGAAGAGUGGAGUCAGAAUGGAGGCGGACGCGAGCAAGUAGUCGAGGGAAGAGGUGAGAAGGGGGGAGUUGUCGCUUGUCGGGCCUG
Molecule: long non-coding RNA, 9461 nt
Filed under: Phoenix dactylifera (date palm)
Lineage: Eukaryota; Viridiplantae; Streptophyta; Magnoliopsida; Arecales; Arecaceae
Description: long non-coding RNA (PDAC_LNC005826)
Source: RNAcentral